ACUACUGGCUAUAACUACUGACCACUACUACUGGCUAUAACUACUGACCACUACUACUGGCUAUAACUACUGACCACUACUACUGGCUAUAACUACUGACCACUACUACUGGCUAUAACUACUGACCACACACCAUUGUUUGAGCUGCUGCCGUGUUGUGUUGUUGUCUUAGGUCUCUCUUUAUGUUGUGGUGUCUUUUGUUGAGAUGUGCAAUUUAAAAAAUAUAUAUUUUUAUCCCAGCUCCCAUCCCCAUAGGAGGUCUUUAGGCCAUCAUUGUUGCUAAUAAUUAGUACCUAAUUGACUUGCCUGGUUAAAUAAAUAAAAAUCAACCACCCGACUUUCCUCGUAUCGACUGACAGUGACUUGAUGCAGUCGGAGGUAUACACUCAGCCCACGGUCGUCGUAACCCAACUCCACCGAGAUUUAAACUAGACCAAAAAUAUAAACGCAUGUAAAUUCACAUAAAAGAUCCUAGAAAUGUAAACGCAUGUUUAGUUUCAUGUAAAGUGUUUAAUAAAAGAUCCUAGACAUUUUCCAGAUGCACAAAAAAAGCUAAUUUCUCAAAACAUUUUGUGCAUCUGGAAAAUUGAACAUCCCUGUUAGUGAACAUUUCUCCUUUUGCCAAGAUAUGCCACAGCUGUCAGGUGGAUGAAUGAUCAUGAAAGCUGAUUUUUAAACAGCAUGAUCAUGCCACUGGUGCAGCUUGUGCUGGGGACAAUAAAAAGACCACUCUAAAAUGUGCAGUUCUGUCAUACAAUGUGAGCGGUAUUGACAUGUUGAAUGUCUAAACUACUGGCACACAGCUCAGACACCCAUACAUACCCCACAAGACAUGCCACCAGAGGUCUGUCUAAACUACUGGCACACAGCUCAGACACCCAUACAUACCCCACAAGACAUGCCACCAGAGGUCUGUCUAAACUACUAGCACACAGCUCAGACACCCAUACAUACCCCACAAGACAUGCCACCAGAGGUCUGUUUAAACUACUGGCACACAGCUCAGACACCCAUACAUACCCCACAAGACAUGCCACCAGAGGUCUGUCUAAACUACUAGCACACAGCUCAGACACCCAUACAUACCCCACAAGACAUACCACCAGAGGUCUGUUUAAACUACUAGCACACAGCUCAGACACCCAUACAUACCCCACAAGACAUGCCACCAGAGGUCUGUCUAAACUACUGGCACACAGCUCAGACACCCAUACAUACCCCACAAGACAUGCCACCAGAGGUCUGUCUAAACUACUGGCACACAGCUCAGACACCCAUACAUACCCCACAAGACAUACCACCAGAGGUCUGUUUAAACUACUAGCACACAGCUCAGACACCCAUACAUACCCCACAAGACAUGCCACCAGAGGUCUGUCUAAACUACUAGCACACAGCUCAGACACCCAUACAUACCUCACAAGACAUACCACCAGAGGUCUGUUUAAACUACUAGCACACAGCUCAGACACCCAUACAUACCCCACAAGACAUGCCACCAGAGGUCUCUUCACAGUCCCCAAGUCCAGAUCAGACUAUGGGAGGCGCACAGUACUACAUAGAGCCAUGACUACAUGGAACUCUAUUCCACAGUACUACAUAGAGACAUGACUACAUGGAACUCUAUUCCACAGUACUACAUAGAGCCAUGACUACAUGGAACUCUAUUCCACAGUACUACAUAGAGCCAUGACUACAUGGAACUCUAUUCCACAGUACUACAUAGAGCCAUGACUACAUGGAACUCUAUUCCACAGUACUACAUAGAGCCAUGACUACAUGGAACUCUAUUCCACAGUACUACAUAGAGCCAUGACUACAUGGAACUCUAUUCCACAGUACUACAUAGAGCCAUGACUACAUGGAACUCUAUUCCACAGUACUACAUAGAGCCAUGACUACAUGGAACUCUAUUCCACAGUACUACAUAGAGCCAUGACUACAUGGAACUCUAUUCCACAGUACUACAUAGAGCCAUGACUACAUGGAACUCUAUUCCACAGUACUACAUAGAGCCAUGACUACAUGGAACUCUAUUCCACAGUACUACAUAGAGACAUGACUACAUGGAACUCUAUUCCACAGAACUACAUAGAGCCAUGACUACAUGGAACUCUAUUCCACAGUACUACAUAGAGCCAUGACUACAUGGAACUCUAUUCCACAGUACUACAUAGAGCCAUGACUACAUGGAACUCUAUUCCACAGUACUACAUAGAGCCAUGACGAUAUGGAACUCUAUUCCACAGUACUACAUAGAGCCAUGACUACAUGGAACUCUAUUCCACAGUACUACAUAGAGCCAUGACUACAUCGAACUCUAUUCCACAGUACUACAUAGAGCCAUGACUACAUGGAACUCUAUUCCACAGUACUACAUAGAGCCGUGACUACAUGGAACUCUAUUCCACAGUACUACAUAGAGCCGUGACUACAUGGAACUCUAUUCCACAGUAACUACAUAGAGCCAUGAUUACAUGGAACUCUAUUCCACAGUACUACAUAGAGCCGUGACUACAUGGAACUCUAUUCCACAGUACUACAUAGAGCCGUGACUACAUGGAACUCUAUUCCACAGUACUACAUAGAGCCAUGAUUACAUGGAACUCUAUUCCACAGUACUACAUAGAGCCGUGACUACAUGGAACUCUAUUCCACAGUACUACAUAGAGCCGUGACCACAUGGAACUCUAUUCCACAGUACUACAUAGAGCCAUGACGAUAUGGAACUCUAUUCCACAGUACUACAUAGAGCCAUGACUACAUGGAACUCUAUUCCACAGUAACUACAUAGAGCCAUGAUUACAUGGAACUCUAUUCCACAGUACUACAUAGAGACAUGACUACAUGGAACUCUAUUCCACAGUACUACAUAGAGACAUGACUACAUGGAACUCUAUUCCACAGUACUACAUAGAGACAUGACUACAUGGAACUCUAUUCCACAGUACUACAUAGAGACAUGACUACAUGGAACUCUAUUCCACAGUACUACAUAGAGCCAUGACUACAUGGAACUCUUCCACAGUACUACAUAGAGCCAUGACUACAUGGAACUCUAUUCCACAGUACUACAUAGAGCCAUGACUACAUGGAACUCUAUUCCACAGUACUACAUAGAGCCAUGACUACAUGGAACUCUAUUCCACAGUACUACAUAGAGACAUGACUACAUGGAACUCUAUUCCACAGAACUACAUAGAGCCAUGACUACAUGGAACUCUAUUCCACAGUACUACAUAGAGCCAUGACUACAUGGAACUCUAUUCCACAGUACUACAUAGAGCCAUGACUACAUGGAACUCUAUUCCACAGUACUACAUAGAGCCAUGACUACAUGGAACUCUAUUCCACAGUACUACAUAGAGCCAUGACUACAUGGAACUCUAUUCCACAGUACUACAUAGAGCCAUGACUACAUGGAACUCUAUUCCACAGUACUACAUAGAGCCAUGACUACAUGGAACUCUAUUCCACAGUACUACAUAGAGCCAUGACUACAUGGAACUCUAUUCCACAGUACUACAUAGAGACAUGACUACAUGGAACUCUAUUCCACAGAACUACAUAGAGCCAUGACUACAUGGAACUCUAUUCCACAGUACUACAUAGAGCCAUGACUACAUGGAACUCUAUUCCACAGUACUACAUAGAGCCAUGACUACAUGGAACUCUAUUCCACAGUACUACAUAGAGCCAUGACGAUAUGGAACUCUAUUCCACAGUACUACAUAGAGCCAUGACUACAUGGAACUCUAUUCCACAGUACUACAUAGAGCCAUGACUACAUGGAACUCUAUUCCACAGUACUACAUAGAGCCGUGACUACAUGGAACUCUAUUCCACAGUACUACAUAGAGCCGUGACUACAUGGAACUCUAUUCCACAGUAACUACAUAGAGCCGUGACUACAUGGAACUCUAUUCCACAGUACUACAUAGAGCCGUGACUACAUGGAACUCUAUUCCACAGUACUACAUAGAGCCGUGACUACAUGGAACUCUAUUCCACAGUACUACAUAGAGCCAUGACUACAUGGAACUCUAUUCCACAGUACUACAUAGAGCCAUGACUACAUGGAACUCUAUUCCACAGUACUACAUAGAGCCAUGACUACAUGGAACUCUAUUCCACAGUACUACAUAGAGCCAUGACGAUAUGGAACUCUAUUCCACAGUACUACAUAGAGCCAUGACUACAUGGAACUCUAUUCCACAGUACUACAUAGAGCCAUGACUACAUGGAACUCUAUUCCACAGUACUACAUAGAGCCAUGACUACAUGGAACUCUAUUCCACAGUACUACAUAGAGCCAUGACUACAUGGAACUCUAUUCCACAUCAGGUAACUGAUUCAAAGAGUAAAAUUAGAUUUAAAAAACAGAUAAAAAUACACCUCAUGGAACAGCAGGGACUGUGAAGAGAGACACACACGAUAACAUACACAUGGAUGUAGUACUGUAGAUAUGUGGUGGUGGUUUAGUAGGGGCCUGAGGGCACACAGUGUGUUGUGAAAUCUGUGAAUGUAUUGUAAUGUUUUAAAAAUGGUAUAAACUGCCUUAAUUAUGAUGAACCCCAGGAAGAGUAGCUGCUGCCUUGGCAGGAAUUAAUGAGGAUCCAUUAUAAACCCCAGGAAGAGUAGCUGCUGCCUUGGCAGGAACUAAUGGGGAUUCAUAAUAAACCCCAGGAAGAGUAGCUGCUGCCUUGGUAAAAACUAAUGGGGAUCCAUAAUAAACCCCAGGAAGAGUAGCUGCUGCCUUGACAGGAACUAAUGGGGAUUCAUAAUAAACCCCAGGAAGAGUAGCUGCUGCCUUGGCAGGAACUAAUGGGGAUUCAUAAUAAACCCCAGGAAGAGUAGCUGCUGCCUUGGUAAAAACUAAUGGGGAUCCAUAAUAAACCCCAGGAAGAGUAGCUGCUGCCUUGACAGGAACUAAUGGGGAUCCAUAAUAAACCCCAGGAAGAGUAGCUGCUGCCUUGGCAGGAACUAAUGGGGAUCCAUAAUAAACCCCAGGAAGAGUAGCUGCUGCCUUGGCAGGAACUAAUGGGGAUCCAUAAUAAACACAGAUGUCUCAGGUUUUGAGUGCAAGUGUCUUGCUGACUACCGGAAUCCACCUGUGGGAGAAAAGGAGUAUUUCUGUCAGUAAUAAAGCCCUUUUGUGGAAGAAAAAAACAUAAUUCUGAUUGGCUGGGCCUGGCUCCUCCGUGGAUGGGACUAUGUCAUCCCCACCCGUGACUCCACCCCUGAGAGGUCAUGUGAAAUCCAUGGCCUAAUUUAUUAUAUAUAUAUUUUUUUUUAUUUACUUGAUUUCCUUCUAAAAACUGUAACUCUUUGAAAUUGUUGCAUGUUGUGUUUUAUAUAUUUUUGUUCAGUGUAACAUAUUGUGUAGUUAAUAUUAAAGGUCAUUGUGUAGUUAAUAUUAUAGGUUAUAUUGUGUAGUUAAUAUUAAAGGUUAUAUUGUGUAGUUAAUAUUAAAGGUUAUAUUGUGUAGUUAAUAUUAAAGGUCAUAUGGUGUAGUUAAUAUUAAAGGUCAUAUUGUGUAGUUAAUAUUAAAGGUUAUAUUGUGUAGUUAAUAUUAAAGGUUAUAUUGUGUAGUUAAUAUUAAAGGUUAUAUUGUGUAGUUAAUAUUAAAGGUUAUAUUGUGUAGUUAAUAUUAAAGGUCAUAUUGUGUAGUUAAUAUUAAAGGUUAUAUUGUGUAGUUAAUAUUAAAGGUUAUAUUGUGUAGUUAAUAUUAAAGGUUAUAUUGUGUAGUUAAUAUUAAAGGUUAUAUUGUGUAGUUAAUAUUAAAGGUCAUAUUGUGUAGUUAAUAUUAAAGGUUAUAUUGUGUAGUUAAUAUUAAAGGUUCCUAUAAUUCUGUAUG
Molecule: long non-coding RNA, 5857 nt
Organism: Oncorhynchus keta (chum salmon)
Lineage: Eukaryota; Metazoa; Chordata; Actinopteri; Salmoniformes; Salmonidae
Exons: 3
Source: RefSeq, a predicted model, not a curated record